UGGGGAAUUUUCCGCAAUGGGCGAAAGCCUGACGGAGCAAUACCGCGUGAGGGAUGAAGGCUCGUGGGUUGUAAACCUCUUUUCUUAGGGAAGAAGUUCUGACGGUACCUAAGGAAUAAGCAUCGGCUAACUCCGUGCCAGCAGCCGCGGUAAUACGGAGGAUGCAAGCGUUAUCCGGAAUCACUGGGCGUAAAGCGUCUGUAGGUUGUUUAGUAAGUCUGCUGUUAAAGAUUGGGGCUCAACCCCAAAGCAGCAGUGGAAACUGCUAAGCUAGAGUAUGGUAAGGGUAAAGGGAAUUCCCAGUGUAGCGGUGAAAUGCGUAGAUAUUGGGAAGAACACCAGAGGCGAAAGCGCUUUACUAGACCAUUGCUGACACUCAGAGACGAAAGCUAGGGGAGCGAAUGGGAUUAGAUACCCCCGUAGUCC
Molecule: ribosomal RNA, 426 nt
Filed under: uncultured prokaryote
Description: bacterial SSU rRNA
Rfam family: Bacterial small subunit ribosomal RNA
Source: RNAcentral